UGGGGAAUUUUGCGCAAUGGGCUAACGCCUGACGCAGCAACGCCGCGUGGAGGAUGAAGGUCUUUGGAUUGUAAACUCCUGUCAGCAGGGAAAAAGCGACUUAGGUUAAUACCCUAGGGAGUUGAUUGUACCUGCAGAGGAAGCCCCGGCUAACUCUGUGCAAGCAGCCGCGGUAAUACAGAGGGGGCAAGCGUUAUUCGGAAUUAUUGGGCGUAAAGGGCGCGUAGGCGGCUUUUCAAGUGACGGGUGAAAUCCCUCGGCUUAACCGAGGAACUGCCUGUCAGACUGGAAGGCUUGAGACCGGGAGAGGUGAGUGGAAUUCCCAGUGUAGCGGUGAAAUGCGUAGAUAUUGGGAAGAACACCAGUGGCGAAGGCGACUUACUGGACACAUAUUGACGCUGAGGUGCGAAAGCGUGGGGAGCAAA
This 425-nucleotide ribosomal RNA is filed under the name uncultured bacterium. RNAcentral's name for it is "bacterial SSU rRNA". It matches the Rfam family "Bacterial small subunit ribosomal RNA", at positions 355 to 772 of the family's 1533-position model. The record is from RNAcentral.